This 24-nucleotide small nuclear RNA is filed under the name Arabidopsis thaliana (thale cress). RNAcentral describes it as "snRNA_09739". Lineage: Eukaryota; Viridiplantae; Streptophyta; Magnoliopsida; Brassicales; Brassicaceae. The record is from RNAcentral.
AAACGCUCAUCAAAGUGGUUAGAG